CACGUAGGGGGCAAGCGUUGUCCGGAUUUAUUGGGCGUAAAGAGCUCGUAGGCGGUUUCGUAAGUCGGAUGUGAAAACUCCAGCUCAACUUGGAGACGCCAUUCGAUACUGCGAUGACUUGAGUCCGGUAGGGGAGUGUGGAAUUCCUGGUGUAGCGGUGAAAUGCGCAGAUAUCAGGAGGAACACCGGUGGCGAAGGCGGAUCUCUGGGCCAUUACUGACGCUGAGGAGCGAAAGCGUGGGGAGCGAACAGG
Molecule: ribosomal RNA, 253 nt
Filed under: uncultured bacterium
Lineage: Bacteria
Description: partial 16S ribosomal RNA
Rfam family: Bacterial small subunit ribosomal RNA
Source: RNAcentral